Molecule: long non-coding RNA, 563 nt
Organism: Piliocolobus tephrosceles (Ugandan red Colobus)
Lineage: Eukaryota; Metazoa; Chordata; Mammalia; Primates; Cercopithecidae
Exons: 3
Source: RefSeq, a predicted model, not a curated record
UACACGGCGUUUCCUUACCUGUGGGGCAGAUGUUCUCUUACCUCCAUGGGGUUGAUGAGGGUCUGGGAGAUGGCCACAGCCAGGGAACCAGCGAGGAGACGCUCCUGGAAGGGCGGGGACCCUUGUAUUCCACAGAAGUAAUUCUUGCACUGGGAGAGGAGAGAGGAGGAUGAGAGAGAAGUCAGCCACCCUCCGACACAAAACCCACGCAGGGAAGAGGCCUGGGGUCUGCAGGGUGAGCGUGUGUCUUGAACAAGGGCCUGGAGUUUUGGGGGUGUGGGAGGGGUUUGGGCUUGAGCUGGGGGAAGCAGACCCCUCGUUCCCCACCUGCUCGAAUACGGAGAACUUGAUGGCAUACUCAGGAGCAAUCUUGAGCACGUUGAUGCCGUUGCCCCGCCACAGGGAGCGGAAGCCUCCCUCCUGGACCAUGCUCUGUAGCCCCCCCAGCAGGACUUCCACAGGAACCAUCAGCUGCUCUCCUGUGUCCAGCACCUGCAGGGCAGACCCGGCCCUCCCUCAUCCUCAGCCAGAAUCUUGCUGCGUUGCCCUGGCUCGAGUGCAGU